RNAcentral lists this ribosomal RNA (497 nucleotides) under uncultured bacterium. RNAcentral's name for it is "partial 16S ribosomal RNA". It matches the Rfam family "Bacterial small subunit ribosomal RNA", at positions 28 to 507 of the family's 1533-position model. The record is from RNAcentral.
GAUGAACGCUGGCGGCGUGCCUAAUACAUGCAAGUCGAGCGAACGGACGAGAAGCUUGCUUCUCUGAUGUUAGCGGCGGACGGGUGAGUAACACGUGGAUAACCUACCUAUAAGACUGGGAUAACUUCGGGAAACCGGAACUAAUACCGGAUGAUAUUUUGAACCGCAUGGUUCAAAAGUGAAAGACGGUCUUGCUGUCACUUAUAGAUGGAUCCGCGCUGCAUUAGCUAGUUGGUAAGGUAACGGCUUACCAAGGCAACGAUGCAUAGCCGACCUGAGAGGGUGGUCGGCCACACUGGAACUGAGACACGGUCCAGACUCCUACGGGAGGCAGCAGUAGGGAAUCUUCCGCAAUGGGCGAAAGCCUGACGGAGCAACGCCGCGUGAGUGAUGAAGGUCUUCGGAUCGUAAAACUCUGUUAUUAGGGAAGAACAUAUGUGUAAGUAACUGUGCACAUCUUGACGGUACCUAAUCAGAAAGCCACGGCUAACUACGUG